This 450-nucleotide ribosomal RNA is filed under the name uncultured bacterium. Its description in RNAcentral is "partial 16S ribosomal RNA". It matches the Rfam family "Bacterial small subunit ribosomal RNA", at positions 338 to 795 of the family's 1533-position model. The record is from RNAcentral.
CCUACGGGAGGCAGCAGUGGGGAAUUUUGGACAAUGGGGGCAACCCUGAUCCAGCCAUGCCGCGUGCGGGAAGAAGGCCUUCGGGUUGUAAACCGCUUUCGGCCGGAACGAAAUCGCCGGGGAGAACAUCCCCGGUGGAUGACGGUACCGGAAGAAGGAGCACCGGCUAACUACGUGCCAGCAGCCGCGGUAAUACGUAGGGUGCGAGCGUUAAGUGGAAUUACUGGGCGUGAAGCGCUAGGAGGGAGUUGAAAUCCCCGGGCUUAACCUGGGAACUGCGUUUGUGACUGGCUGGCUGGAGUGCGGAAGAGGGAGGUGGAAUUCCACGUGUAGCAGUGAAAUGCGUAGAGAUGUGGAGGAACACCGAUGGCGAAGGCAGCCUCCUGGUCUAGCACUGACGCUCAUGCACGAAAGCGUGGGGAGCAAACAGGAUUAGAUACCCCAGUAGUC